RNAcentral lists this unclassified non-coding RNA (230 nucleotides) under Hevea brasiliensis (rubber tree). Lineage: Eukaryota; Viridiplantae; Streptophyta; Magnoliopsida; Malpighiales; Euphorbiaceae. The record is from RNAcentral.
GCAGUAUCUUAUAACUUAUUCACUCCUGAUUGUCACAAACAAUUUCCAGAUAUUGAAAUUCAUUAAUUUUUUGGCUACCAACUUUAAUGCAUGUCCGCAAGUUAUUAUUUGCCUAAACUGAGUUCAUGUAGACCAAAAAUAUUUUGGGUCCAGGAAAAAAUUGACAGAAUUAAUUUAAUUCGAAAUUUUGGUUUGAUUUUCUUGGUAAAAGGAUUCAGUUUGGGUUUUAA